This 305-nucleotide ribosomal RNA is filed under the name uncultured bacterium. RNAcentral's name for it is "bacterial SSU rRNA". It matches the Rfam family "Bacterial small subunit ribosomal RNA", at positions 335 to 656 of the family's 1533-position model. The record is from RNAcentral.
UUGCCUACGGGAGGCAGCAGUGGGGAAUAUUGGGCAAUGGGCGCAAGCCUGACCCAGCAACGCCGCGUGAAGGAAGAAGGCUUUCGGGUUGUAAACUUCUUUUGACAGGGAAGAGCAGAAGACGGUACCUGUCGAAUAAGCCACGGCUAACUACGUGCCAGCAGCCGCGGUAAUACGUAGGUGGCAAGCGUUGUCCGGAUUUACUGGGUGUAAAGGGCGUGUAGCCGUGCUUACAAGUCAGAUGUGAAAUCCGGGGGCUCAACCCCCGAACUGCAUUAGAACCCCGGUAUCCAAGAUCGGAAGAG